GUUAUUAAUGGGUUAAAUAUUGUGAGUAAGUGAAUUAAUGGAAACAAAAAAAUAUGGCGGUACUUUAAGCUUAUCAGAGGAAUUUGCUCUGUAAUGGAUAAAAAACCUGAAUCUUACUAAAGUUAGUUAAAUCAGCUUGUAUACCACUAUAAGAGUAAUAAUUUAUUAUUAUUUCUAUAAUUUUUUCAUAAAAAAAUAAAUUAAGUCAUGGUGCAGCAAAAAUUUUAGAAUGAAGUGAAUUACAUUUCUUUUAAGAAAAAAAAAUUGAAAAAUUAUAUUAGGAUUUGAAAGUAAAUAAAUAAUAACAUGAUUUAUUGAAUUUAGCUCUAAAGUAUGUAC
Molecule: ribosomal RNA, 339 nt
Filed under: Amblyomma triguttatum (ornate kangaroo tick)
Lineage: Eukaryota; Metazoa; Arthropoda; Arachnida; Ixodida; Ixodidae
Description: partial small subunit ribosomal RNA
Source: RNAcentral